AAUGAUGGCCAAAUCGCAUGUAUAAUAUGUCUAUGAAAAGCUUGAGAAGUAUAUUACAAAUCUCUAGAAGACAUUAAGUCCUAAUAACAUCAUCUACCAGCUCAAUCCAGUUAAAACAGAAAAUCGCAGUAAGUCAGAAUCAGCAAAUCAUUCUAAAACAAUUACUGCAGAAUCAACAGAUUUUGUAGGUGUUUUUGAGUGACCAAAUGACAUCUGUUCAGGGCAUGCAACAUAUCAAAUCGAAGCUCUAGAAGUUUAUUUUAUAUGUCUAGAAGGGCUUGAAGUCAAAAAACCUUAUCUAAUACCUCGUUUCAGCCAAAACAGAAAGUGAU
Molecule: long non-coding RNA, 332 nt
Filed under: Eucalyptus grandis
Lineage: Eukaryota; Viridiplantae; Streptophyta; Magnoliopsida; Myrtales; Myrtaceae
Description: long non-coding RNA (EGRA_LNC007532)
Source: RNAcentral